Molecule: ribosomal RNA, 520 nt
Filed under: uncultured Glomus
Lineage: Eukaryota; Fungi; Glomeromycota; Glomeromycetes; Glomerales; Glomeraceae
Description: SSU rRNA
Rfam family: Eukaryotic small subunit ribosomal RNA
Source: RNAcentral
AGCAGCCGCGGUAAUUCCAGCUCCAAUAGCGUAUAUUAAAGUUGUUGCAGUUAAAAAGUUCGUAGUUGAAUUUCGGGGUUAGUAGGUUGGUCAUGCCUCUGGUAUGUACUGGUCUCACUGAUUCCUCCUUCCUUAUGAACCGUAAUGCCAUUAAUUUGGUGUUGCGGGGAAUUUGGACUGUUACUUUGAAAAAAUUUAGAGUGUUUAAAGCAAGCUAACGCUUGAAUACAUUAGCAUGGAAUAAUGAAAUAGGACGUUCGAUCUUAUUUUGUUGGUUUCUAGGAUUGACGUAAUGAUUAAUAGGGAUAGUUGGGGGCAUUAGUAUUCAAUUGUCAGAGGUGAAAUUCUUGGAUUUAUUGAAGACUAACUACUGCGAAAGCAUUUGCCAAGGAUGUUUUCAUUAAUCAAGAACGAAAGUUAGGGGAUCGAAGACGAUCAGAUACCGUCGUAGUCUUAACCAUAAACUAUGCCGACUAGGGAUCGGAUGAUGUUAAUUUUUUUAAUGACUCAUUCGGCGCCU